UACGGAGGGGGCGAGCGUUGUUCGGAAUUACUGGGCGUAAAGGGCGCGUAGGCGGCCCAUCAAGUUAGACGUGAAAGCCCCGGGCUCAACCUGGGAAUUGCGUUUAAGACUGGUGAGCUAGAGGACGAGAGAGGAAAGUGGAAUUCCUAGUGUAGAGGUGAAAUUCGUAGAUAUUAGGAAGAACACCGGUGGCGAAGGCGACUUUCUGGCUCGUAACUGACGCUGAGGCGCGAAAGCGUGGGGAGCAAACAGG
Molecule: ribosomal RNA, 253 nt
Filed under: uncultured bacterium
Lineage: Bacteria
Description: partial 16S ribosomal RNA
Rfam family: Bacterial small subunit ribosomal RNA
Source: RNAcentral